GAGAUGAGAUCAGACAAGAUGAGAUGGGCCGAGAAGAGAGCUUUGCUAACAUCAGAUGUCCAGUCCUUAGAGGUCAACUCAACAAACUGAUUGAACCAUAUAAGCUGCCUGCCUGCCUGCAUGCGUGUGUGCCGUGUGGAGAGCUCCUCCAGGGAUCCAGGGCCUCUUCUCUUCUCCACAACGGCCGGGGACAGCAGCGAUAAGCAGCACAAGCAGAGCUGACCUCCACUGGGCAGCCAUUAACCCUUUCAGGAGCACCAGCAGAGAUGUUCUACUGCGUAACUACAA
Molecule: long non-coding RNA, 288 nt
Organism: Engraulis encrasicolus (European anchovy)
Lineage: Eukaryota; Metazoa; Chordata; Actinopteri; Clupeiformes; Engraulidae
Exons: 2
Source: RefSeq, a predicted model, not a curated record